UAUGGCGACCGGCGCACGGGUGAGUAACACGUAUCCAACCUGCCGAUGACUCGGGGAUAGCCUUUCGAAAGAAAGAUUAAUACCCGAUGGCAUAGUUCUUCCGCAUGGUAGAACUAUUAAAGAAUUUCGGUCAUCGAUGGGGAUGCGUUCCAUUAGGUUGUUGGCGGGGUAACGGCCCACCAAGCCUUCGAUGGAUAGGGGUUCUGAGAGGAAGAUCCCCCACAUUGGAACUGAGACACGGUCCAA
Molecule: ribosomal RNA, 246 nt
Filed under: uncultured bacterium
Lineage: Bacteria
Description: partial 16S ribosomal RNA
Rfam family: Bacterial small subunit ribosomal RNA
Source: RNAcentral